GUCUACAGCCAUGCUACCCUGAACAGGCCCAAUGUCUGAUCUCAGAAACUAAGCAAGGUCGGGCCUGGUUAGUACUUGGAUGGGAGACCACCUAGGAAGACCAGGUGCUGUAGGUG
RNAcentral lists this ribosomal RNA (116 nucleotides) under Pteropus alecto (black flying fox). Lineage: Eukaryota; Metazoa; Chordata; Mammalia; Chiroptera; Pteropodidae. The record is from RNAcentral.